RNAcentral lists this non-coding RNA (46 nucleotides) under Mytilus galloprovincialis (Mediterranean mussel). It matches the Rfam family "Histone 3' UTR stem-loop". From Rfam's summary of the family: The mRNAs of metazoan histone genes lack a poly-A tail. 3' end processing occurs at a site between a highly conserved stem-loop (modelled by this family) and a purine rich region around 20 nts downstream (the histone downstream element, or HDE). The stem-loop is bound by a 31 kDa stem-loop binding protein (SLBP - also termed the histone hairpin binding protein, or HBP). The record is from RNAcentral. Lineage: Eukaryota; Metazoa; Mollusca; Bivalvia; Mytilida; Mytilidae.
CAAACGGCCCUUUUUAGGGCAACCAAUACUUCACAAAAAGAGUCUU